GACCGCGUAGCUCAGUUGGAAGAGCAUUGGGCUAGUAUUCCAAAGGUCGUAGGUUCGAAUCCCACCGUUGCCU
This 73-nucleotide transfer RNA is filed under the name Paramuricea clavata. It matches the Rfam family "tRNA". From Rfam's summary of the family: Transfer RNA (tRNA) molecules are approximately 80 nucleotides in length. Their secondary structure includes four short double-helical elements and three loops (D, anti-codon, and T loops). Lineage: Eukaryota; Metazoa; Cnidaria; Anthozoa; Malacalcyonacea; Plexauridae. The record is from Rfam by way of RNAcentral.